CACAUGCAGUCGAGGGGCAGCAUGAACUUAGCUUGCUAAGUUUGAUGGCGACCGGCGCACGGGUGAGUAACACGUAUCCAACCUGCCGAUGACUCGGGGAUAGCCUUUCGAAAGAAAGAUUAAUACCCGAUGGCAUAGUUCUUCCGCAUGGUAGAACUAUUAAAGAAUUUCGGUCAUCGAUGGGGAUGCGUUCCAUUAGGUUGUUGGCGGGGUAACGGCCCACCAAGCCUUCGAUGGAUAGGGGUUCUGAGAGGAAGGUCCCCCACAUUGGAACUGAGACACGGUCCAAACUCCUACGGGAGGCAGCAGUGAGGAAUAUUGGUCAAUGGACGAGAGUCUGAACCAGCCAAGUAGCGUGAAGGAUGACUGCCCUAUGGGUUGUAAACUUCUUUUAUACGGGAAUAAAGUGAGGCACGUGUGCCUUUUUGUAUGUACCGUAUGAAUAAGGAUCGGCUAACUCCGUGCCAGCAGCCGCGGUAAUACGGAGGAUCCGAGCGUUAUCCGGAUUUAUUGGGUUUAAAGGGAGCGUAGGCGGACGCUUAAGUCAGUUGUGAAAGUUUGCGGCUCAACCGUAAAAUUGCAGUUGAUACUGGGUGUCUUGAGUACAGUAGAGGCAGGCGGAAUUCGUGGUGUAGCGGUGAAAUGCUUAGAUAUCACGAAGAACUCCGAUUGCGAAGGCAGCCUGCUGGACUGUAACUGACGCUGAUGCUCGAAAGUGUGGGUAUCAAACAGGAUUAGAUACCCUGGUAGUCCACACAGUAAACGAUGAAUACUCGCUGUUUGCGAUAUACAGUAAGCGGCCAAGCGAAAGCGUUAAGUAUUCCACCUGGGGAGUACGCCGGCAACGGUGAAACUCAAAGGAAUUGACGGGGGCCCGCACAAGCGGAGGAACAUGUGGUUUAAUUCGAUGAUACGCGAGGAACCUUACCCGGGCUUGAAUUGCAACUGAA
Molecule: ribosomal RNA, 950 nt
Filed under: uncultured bacterium
Lineage: Bacteria
Description: bacterial SSU rRNA
Rfam family: Bacterial small subunit ribosomal RNA
Source: RNAcentral